GUGGGGAAUCUUGCGCAAUGGGCGAAAGCCUGACGCAGCCAUGCCGCGUGAAUGAUGAAGGUCUUAGGAUUGUAAAAUUCUUUCACCGGGGACGAUAAUGACGGUACCCGGAGAAGAAGCUCCGGCUAACUUCGUGCCAGCAGCCGCGGUAAUACGAAGGGGGCUAGCGUUGCUCGGAAUUACUGGGCGUAAAGGGCGCGUAGGCGGACAGCUUAGUCAGAGGUGAAAGCCCAGGGCUCAACCGUGGAAUUGCCUUUGAUACUGGCUGUCUUGAGUUUGGGAGAGGUGAGUGGAACUCCGGGUGUAGAGGUGAAAUUCGUAGAUAUUCGGAAGACCACCAGUGGCGAAGGCGACUCACUGGCCCAAUACUGACGCUGAGGCGCGAAAGCGUGGGGAGCAAACAGGAUUAGAUACCCCAGUAGUCC
RNAcentral lists this ribosomal RNA (425 nucleotides) under uncultured bacterium. RNAcentral's name for it is "partial 16S ribosomal RNA". It matches the Rfam family "Bacterial small subunit ribosomal RNA", at positions 354 to 796 of the family's 1533-position model. The record is from RNAcentral.